This is a non-coding RNA of Podarcis lilfordi (Lilford's wall lizard), 200 nucleotides long. Lineage: Eukaryota; Metazoa; Chordata; Lepidosauria; Squamata; Lacertidae. The record is from the annotation of a GenBank genome assembly.
GCUUGGCAGGGGGUUGGACUCGAUGGCCCUUGUGGUCUCUUCCAACUCUAUGAUUCUAUGAAAAAAAUCGUAAUAAAAAUAUGACUUAGAAUAAGCAGCUUAUACAAAAUAAAGUAAUAUAAUAGCACACACAAAAUAUCAUAGAACUAUAGAGUUGGGAGGGACCCUGAGGAUCAUCUAGUCCAACCCCCUGCAAUGGC